UACGUAGGGUGCAAGCGUUGUCCGGAAUUAUUGGGCGUAAAGAGCUCGUAGGCGGUCUGUCGCGUCGGCUGUGAAAACCCGGAGCUCAACUCCGGGCCUGCAGUCGAUACGGGCAAACUGGAGUACUGCAGGGGAGACUGGAAUUCCUGGUGAUAGCGGUGAAAUGACGCAGAUAUCAGGAGGAACACCGAGUGGCGAAGGCGGGUCUC
Molecule: ribosomal RNA, 209 nt
Filed under: uncultured bacterium
Lineage: Bacteria
Description: partial 16S ribosomal RNA
Rfam family: Bacterial small subunit ribosomal RNA
Source: RNAcentral